This 253-nucleotide ribosomal RNA is filed under the name uncultured bacterium. RNAcentral's name for it is "partial 16S ribosomal RNA". It matches the Rfam family "Bacterial small subunit ribosomal RNA", at positions 524 to 776 of the family's 1533-position model. The record is from RNAcentral.
UACGUAGGGGGCUAGCGUUGUCCGGAUUUAUUGGGCGUAAAGAGCGUGUAGGCGGCCAGGUAGGUCCGUUGUGAAAACUCGAGGCUCAACCUCGAGAGGUCGGUGGAAACCGUCUGGCUAGAGUCCGGAAGAGGAGAGUGGAAUUCCCGGUGUAGCGGUGAAAUGCGCAGAUAUCGGGAAGAACACCCGUGGCGAAGGCGGCUCUCUGGGACGGUACUGACGCUGAGACGCGAAAGCGUGGGGAGCGAACAGG